UUGUGACCGCUUUACUUGAAAUGUUGUUCAGAACAUAGCACGUAGUCUCAAGAGCAUAAUCCCAAAAAAAGAUCGACGGACUUGCAAAUCCUAUCAUGGACUAAACUAUAUUUAAUAGAAUUCAAUUUCUCCUUGCAGGAGGUAUCCAUUGUGAGAGAAUCCCAUUCUCUUCUAGAUAUGUCAAAACUCAUUGGAAAGGUAUUCACCUCCUCAGU
This 215-nucleotide long non-coding RNA is filed under the name Elaeis guineensis (African oil palm). RNAcentral describes it as "long non-coding RNA (EGUI_LNC046384)". The record is from RNAcentral. Lineage: Eukaryota; Viridiplantae; Streptophyta; Magnoliopsida; Arecales; Arecaceae.